RNAcentral lists this long non-coding RNA (492 nucleotides) under Callithrix jacchus (white-tufted-ear marmoset). RNAcentral describes it as "lncRNA (ENSCJAG00000077203.1)". The record is from RNAcentral. Lineage: Eukaryota; Metazoa; Chordata; Mammalia; Primates; Cebidae.
AUGCACCCCGCGCUCCUUGCUAGGUCCGCGGCCCCGCCCCUGCACCGCCAACGCCUUCGCCUGAGAGGAGGGGCUGUGCUACGCCUGCUCCCGGGCCCGCAGGCUUCUGGCCGGCGAUCGCUUCCGGAACAUUGCCGGGCUCCCGCCUACCGGGCCACGCAAGCGGGGAAGAGUCUCCUCCACUUGGAGCGGGAAGGGACCCGAAAUUGCGCGGGUGCCGCCACAGAGCGAACCUGUUGGAGAAUGUACUUCUUGGAAAUGAAGAAGAUCCAGGGAACAGAAGGUUCACCAUGGAGGAGCAGGGAAGGGAAUUCCCAGUAAAUCAAAGAUUUCUUCUUGGUUUGGAUCCAUUACUGGCCUAUAGUGAAUCUACCACCUUUGUUGACUGCUUCUUCUUCCCUACUUAUUGCUAUAGAAGCUACCUGAGCUCAUUGUCCCUGGAGAUGGACCAAAUAGAAGAACAAGCAGUGCCUAUGUGGUGAACUUCAAGAG